Dermochelys coriacea (leatherback sea turtle) is the source of this 538-nucleotide long non-coding RNA. RefSeq lists it as uncharacterized. The record is from RefSeq and is a predicted model, not a curated record. The transcript is spliced from 3 exons. Lineage: Eukaryota; Metazoa; Chordata; Testudines; Dermochelyidae.
CAGCCGGGAGCGGGGCGGGCUGGAGGACGCGGGAGGCGGGACCCGGGGAGAACAAAGGCCGGAGAUCGGGACCGUUCUCCGCGGGGGAGCAGCCCCGGGCUCUGCCCCCGUCCGCUCCGGAGCCCCCGGGGGAAGCGCUGGGGCCGGGCAGGAAAGUGACUCUCUGCCCCGGGGAGCCCCAGCCGCUGCAGCCCCCGGGGAUCGGCCCCCGGCACGGCUGCGGGGGGGCCGAGACUGGGGCCCGGCGGGGGGGCAUCAGGAGGGGAGAAGCCGGAGUGGGGGGGUUGCGCUGUCUCUGUGCCCCCAGGACAUGCCGGGGGAAGGGGCAGAAGGGGGCUAAACGCAGGGACUGACCUGCCCGGGGAGAUUCCCCGGUCACGAAGGCUGCAGAAUGACACCCACGUCUCGCUCCAGUUCAUCCCGUCCUCCCAUGGGACAGGGGAGAGAAAUGGCUGCAGAGGAGCCAGCUCAGGGGCCGGUGACCUUCGAGGAGGUGGCUGUGUAUUUCACCAGGGAAGAGGGGGCUCUCCUGGACCCC